CGCCCGCGAGCGCGCACGGCGCAACUUUACCGCGGGCGCUCCCGCUCGCUGGCCCGCGGCUGCCGGUCCUCUCCCGCCCGUGCCCGCCCCGCAGCCCGUGCCCGCCCGGCAGCCCGCGCACGCCCGCCCCAAGUUCGUUCCCCGCCACCGCGGCCUGCGCGGAGGGAGGAUCGGGCGCGGGGAGACGCCGAGGGGCGGCAAGAGUGGAGAAAGUGCAGAAAAAGCAACUGCCGUUCCACCCGCGGACGGAAAAGUGGCCGGGCGCGGCGGCGGGAUUCGGCAAGGCUAACCGUCCCCGGCGGACGCGCGAGCCGCUAGGCGCAGAGGCAGACGCUCGGGUUUCCCCAGCCUACGCGGACAGGAAGUGACAGCAGUUGGGUUGAACUUUAGCUGGACACAGAAGGAGGCUAGAAAUUCUGCUCUCAGGAAAGCAGCAUGAGUAAUCGCCUGCAAGGUGCCAGACUCACUUCCUAAUCCUUGCCUAGCUCACCUGCUGUCACCUUGCCUACCCCGCCCUGCAGGGUCCUAGGGUGGCCAGGUUCAUGGGCCUUGUGACUUGCCCAGGAGGCAUAAACACCCUAGGAGAGCAUGCCUGGAAACCUGUAAUCCAAAAUGUCCAGAGCAUGAGACAGGAGGGUGGCCAAGUGUUCAAGCUAGCCUGCACUACAGUGGAGCUCUGACUCAAAAUAACCUCAGAUUCACACAUAUCUGAGCAGUUUAAUGACCUCGAGGCUAAAAGCAAAGCUGGCUAGUGUUCCCUGAGGCUGAUUAUUACCUGAAGUCCUUGACUUUGUACAAAACCCAAAAUGCCUUGAUACUCGUCUUCAGUAAUUAGAAUUUAAAUUUACCUUUCUCUCCCUGCUUCCCACCCCUUUUAAAGGAGGAGUUGUUAAGGGACAACUUUUUUGAGGUAAGUGACCUAAGCCAUUAUUUCAGAUAAGCAAUUAUUAAAUGUUAAUGUAUAAAUGUGAGAGUUAUGGAUAGAAGCAACUGAAACAUGCCUUAGAGUAUAAGGAAUAAUACACUAAACCAGCACAGUGCUGAUGCAUGAAAGCUGCCUGGUAAGUUUCUGCCAGCAGAUGUUGCCGUGCCUGAGGCAGGAUAUUUAUUGUGUGAGUAGUCAUGGUGACAUACACCAGCAGUCUAUGCUUAUGGGAGGUGGAGCAGUGAAGGUCACAAGUCUCAGACCAACUCUGGCUGUAUAGUGAGACCCUGUCUGCUCUCA
Molecule: long non-coding RNA, 1225 nt
Organism: Mesocricetus auratus (golden hamster)
Lineage: Eukaryota; Metazoa; Chordata; Mammalia; Rodentia; Cricetidae
Exons: 2
Source: RefSeq, a predicted model, not a curated record